AUUGAACGCUGGCGGCAGGCCUAACACAUGCAAGUCGAGCGGAUGAGUGGAGCUUGCUCCAUGAUUCAGCGGCGGACGGGUGAGUAAUGCCUAGGAAUCUGCCCUGGUAGUGGGGGACAACGUUUCGAAAGGAACGCUAAUACCGCAUACGUCCUACGGGAGGAAGCAGGGGGACCUUCGGGCCUUGCGCUAUCAGAUGAGCCUAGGUCGGAUUAGCUAGUAGGUGAGGUAAUGGCUCACCUAGGCGACGAUCCGUAACUGGUCUGAGAGGAUGAUCAGUCACACUGGAACUGAGACACGGUCCAGACUCCUACGGGAGGCAGCAG
This 326-nucleotide ribosomal RNA is filed under the name uncultured bacterium. RNAcentral describes it as "bacterial SSU rRNA". It matches the Rfam family "Bacterial small subunit ribosomal RNA", at positions 30 to 354 of the family's 1533-position model. The record is from RNAcentral.